Molecule: ribosomal RNA, 550 nt
Filed under: uncultured bacterium
Lineage: Bacteria
Description: bacterial SSU rRNA
Rfam family: Bacterial small subunit ribosomal RNA
Source: RNAcentral
UAGGGAAUCUUCGGCAAUGGACGGAAGUCUGACCGAGCAACGCCGCGUGAGUGAAGAAGGUUUUCGGAUCGUAAAGCUCUGUUGUAAGAGAAGAACGAGUGCGAGAGUGGAAAGUUCACACUGUGACGGUAUCUUACCAGAAAGGGACGGCUAACUACGUGCCAGCAGCCGCGGUAAUACGUAGGUCCCGAGCGUUGUCCGGAUUUAUUGGGCGUAAAGCGAGCGCAGGCGGUUAGAUAAGUCUGAAGUUAAAGGCUGUGGCUCAACCAUAGUUCGCUUUGGAAACUGUCAAACUUGAGUGCAGAAGGGGAGAGUGGAAUUCCAUGUGUAGCGGUGAAAUGCGUAGAUAUAUGGAGGAACACCGGUGGCGAAAGCGGCUCUCUGGCUUGUAACUGACGCUGAGGCUCGAAAGCGUGGGGAGCAAACAGGAUUAGAUACCCUGGUAGUCCACGCCGUAAACGAUGAGUGCUAGGUGUUAGACCCUUUCCGGGGUUUAGUGCCGUAGCUAACGCAUUAAGCACUCCGCCUGGGGAGUACGACCGCAAGGUUG